Molecule: long non-coding RNA, 138 nt
Organism: Octopus sinensis (East Asian common octopus)
Lineage: Eukaryota; Metazoa; Mollusca; Cephalopoda; Octopoda; Octopodidae
Exons: 3
Source: RefSeq, a predicted model, not a curated record
UACAUAUAUAUACAUACAUGCAUAUGGUCUAGUGCCGGCCUGGCCAACUCAAAUUACAUUGUGGGCCACUUUAAUCACAGUAAGUUUUUUGAAGACUGCUUGUAUACUGACAGGAUUGAAAGCAUUUUGCUUUCUCAU